This 628-nucleotide ribosomal RNA is filed under the name uncultured bacterium. RNAcentral describes it as "bacterial SSU rRNA". It matches the Rfam family "Bacterial small subunit ribosomal RNA", at positions 46 to 692 of the family's 1533-position model. The record is from RNAcentral.
GCGGGAAUACGGAGGCGGAAUUUUUCGGAAGGAAGCCUUUGUGUUUUAGCGGCGGACGGGUGAGUAACGCGUGGAUAACCUGCCCCAUACCGGGGGAUAACAGUUAGAAAUGACUGCUAAUACCGCAUAAGCGCACGGCGCCGCAUGGCGCAGUGUGAAAAACUCCGGUGGUAUGGGAUGGAUCCGCGUCUGAUUAGCUAGUUGGCGGGGUGACGGCCCACCAAGGCAGCGAUCAGUAGCCGACCUGAGAGGGUGGCCGGCCACAUUGGGACUGAGACACGGCCCAAACUCCUACGGGAGGCAGCAGUGGGGAAUAUUGCACAAUGGGGGAAACCCUGAUGCAGCAACGCCGCAUGAAUGAAGAAGUAUUUCGCUCUCCCAAGCUCUAUCAGCAGGGAAGAAGAAGGACGAUACCUGACUAAGAAGCCCCGGCUAACUACGUGCCAGCAGCCGCGGUAAUACGUAGGGGGCGAGCGUUAUCCGGAUUUACUGGGUGUAAAGGGAGCGUAGACGGUUUUUCAAGUCUGAAGUGAAAGCCCGCGGCUCAACUGCGGAACGGCUUUCGAAACUGAGUAACUGGAGUGCUGGAGGGGCAGGCGGAAUUCCUGGUGUAGCGGUGAAAUGCGUA